RNAcentral lists this ribosomal RNA (433 nucleotides) under uncultured bacterium. RNAcentral describes it as "bacterial SSU rRNA". It matches the Rfam family "Bacterial small subunit ribosomal RNA", at positions 29 to 507 of the family's 1533-position model. The record is from RNAcentral.
AACGAACGCUGGCGGCAUGCCUAACACAUGCAAGUCGAACGAAGGCUUCGGCCUUAGUGGCGCACGGGUGCGUAACGCGUGGGAACCUGCCCCUCGGUUCGGAAUAACAGUUAGAAAUGACUGCUAAUACCGGAUGAUGACUUCGGUCCAAAGAUUUAUCGCCGAGGGAUGGGCCCACGUAGGAUUAGCUAGUUGGUGGGGUAAAGGCCUACCAAGGCGACGAUCCUUAGCUGGUCUGAGAGGAUGAUCAGCCACACUGGGACUGAGACACGGCCCAGACUCCUACGGGAGGCAGCAGUGGGGAAUAUUGGACAAUGGGCGAAAGCCUGAUCCAGCAAUGCCGCGUGAGUGAUGAAGGCCUUAGGGUUGUAAAGCUCUUUUACCAGGGAUGAUAAUGACAGUACCUGGAGAAUAAGCUCCGGCUAACUCCGUG